This 440-nucleotide ribosomal RNA is filed under the name uncultured bacterium. Its description in RNAcentral is "partial 16S ribosomal RNA". It matches the Rfam family "Bacterial small subunit ribosomal RNA", at positions 338 to 795 of the family's 1533-position model. The record is from RNAcentral.
CCUACGGGUGGCAGCAGUGGAGAAUCUUGCACAAUGGGGGAAACCCUGAUGCAGCGACGCCGCGUGAGUGAAGGAGUAUUUCGGUAUGUAAAGCUCUAUCAGCAGGGAAGAUAAUGACGGUACCUGACUAAGAAGCCCCGGCUAACUACGUGCCAGCAGCCGCGGUAAUACGUAGGGGGCAAGCGUUAGCCGGAUUUACUGGGUGUAAGGGGUGCGUAGGUGGCAGGGCAAGUCAGAGGUGAAAGCCGGGGGCUCAACCCCGGUACUGCAUUUGAAACUGUCCAGCUGGAGUGCAGGAGAGGUAAGCGGAAUUCCUAGUGUAGCGGUGAAAUGCGUAGAUAUUAGGAGGAACACCAGUGGCGAAGGCGGCUUACUGGACUGUAACUGACACUGAGGCACGAAAGCGUGGGGAGCAAACAGGAUUAGAUACCCGUGUAGUC